CCGGCACGGGUGAGUAACACGUAUCCAACCUGCCGUCUACUCUUGGACAGCCUUCUGAAAGGAAGAUUAAUACAAGAUGGCAUCAUGAGUCCACAUGUUCACAUGAUUAAAGGUAUUCCGGUAGACGAUGGGGAUGCGUUCCAUUAGGCAGUUGGUGGGGUAACGGCCCACCAAACCUUCGAUGGAUAGGGGUUCUGAGAGGAAGGUCCCCCACAUUGGAACUGAGACACGGUCCAA
RNAcentral lists this ribosomal RNA (237 nucleotides) under uncultured bacterium. RNAcentral's name for it is "partial 16S ribosomal RNA". It matches the Rfam family "Bacterial small subunit ribosomal RNA", at positions 100 to 334 of the family's 1533-position model. The record is from RNAcentral.